UUUUUCUUGACAAAUGUUCAUUCUAGUGGC
RNAcentral lists this non-coding RNA (30 nucleotides) under Mus musculus (house mouse). The record is from RNAcentral. Lineage: Eukaryota; Metazoa; Chordata; Mammalia; Rodentia; Muridae.